Long non-coding RNA from Procambarus clarkii (red swamp crayfish), 522 nucleotides. RefSeq lists it as uncharacterized. The record is from RefSeq and is a predicted model, not a curated record. NCBI's taxonomy places the organism in Eukaryota, Metazoa, Arthropoda, Malacostraca, Decapoda, Cambaridae.
AUAACAGGACCUCUGACUGACGUAUUUUUUGUAUUGAAAAAUGGUUACUUAGCUGUUUUUAAUCUACUAUCUAUGGCGCACUAGACGACUGCUGAUUGCUGCUACACUCACAAGACUCCCGCGGACUCUGUUGCUCCAGGUGUGCUGAGCAGGAAAGCACUUCAUUUCUGCCAAGUGUGCUUCUCGGUACACUAUAUAUGGCGUUGUAAGAGUGAGAGAUGUGGGGGAGAUGGGGAAGGUGUAGGGAUGAAGGCUGACCUGCGCGAGCACCCACCACCACCACCAGGAUGGUGAACACGAGGAGAGCUGCCCAAGCGGUCAUGGCGCCUCGUCUCCAACCCUGUUUCUGAUCUGCCCGUUCUUCACGCUUAUAUACUUGUAACCACUUUCGCUCUUCACCUCCAGCUGCACACUUAAGCUACUAAUCACAGCUUCUUAUUAUGUACUAACAACCUCAAAUGUCUGGUGCGAUAUCAGUUCGAUAAGAGGCUGAUUAACUCAUAAAACUUUUAAUUCCAAUCA